RNAcentral lists this signal recognition particle RNA (99 nucleotides) under Actinomycetes bacterium. RNAcentral's name for it is "signal recognition particle sRNA small type". It matches the Rfam family "Bacterial small signal recognition particle RNA". Rfam says of the family: The signal recognition particle (SRP) is a universally conserved ribonucleoprotein involved in the co-translational targeting of proteins to membranes. Archaeal SRP consists of a 7S RNA and homologues of the eukaryotic SRP19 and SRP54 proteins. In most bacteria, the SRP consists of a 4.5S RNA and the Ffh protein (a homologue of the eukaryotic SRP54 protein). The record is from RNAcentral. RNAcentral also lists the same sequence under 3 other names. Lineage: Bacteria; Bacillati; Actinomycetota; Actinomycetes.
GGUCGGGUCCUGUGCAACGGGUUCCCGUGAAUCAGGUCAGGACCGGAAGGUAGCAGCCUUCAGCGGAUUCGCUCGUGUGCCGCAGAUCGCCUGGCCGUC